This 165-nucleotide non-coding RNA is filed under the name human gut metagenome. Its description in RNAcentral is "Lysine riboswitch". It matches the Rfam family "Lysine riboswitch aptamer". From Rfam's summary of the family: Riboswitches are metabolite binding domains within certain messenger RNAs that serve as precision sensors for their corresponding targets. Allosteric rearrangement of mRNA structure is mediated by ligand binding, and this results in modulation of gene expression. This family includes riboswitches that sense lysine in a number of genes involved in lysine metabolism, including lysC. The record is from RNAcentral.
AAUGAUAGAGGCGCGGGCUUCAUGAGUACAGACUGAUACAGGUCGGAAACUGUCAGUCAGGGAAAGGGAAUACCGCCGAAGAGAUCCGGACAUUUCCGAAGAAAGGAUUUCUGGUCUGCCGCAGAAGAUGUGUCAGACUGUCACAGGACUGUGGAGAGCUAUCAU